CCUACGGGAGGCAGCAGUGGGGGAUAUCGCACAAUGGGGGGAACCCUGAUGCAGCGACGCCGCGUGGGUGAAGAAGUAUUUCGGUAUGUAAAGCCCUAUCGGCAGGGAAGAAAAUGACGGUACCUGACUAAGAAGCCCCGGCUAACUACGUGCCAGCAGCCGCGGUAAUAAGUAGGGGGCAAGCGUUAUCCGGAUUUACUGGGUGUAAAGGGAGCGUAGACGGCUAAUCAAGUCAGAAGUGAAAACCCAGGGCUCAACCUUGGGACUGCUUUUGAAACUGAGUAGCUAGAGUGCAGGAGAGGUAA
This 305-nucleotide ribosomal RNA is filed under the name uncultured bacterium. RNAcentral describes it as "bacterial SSU rRNA". It matches the Rfam family "Bacterial small subunit ribosomal RNA", at positions 338 to 660 of the family's 1533-position model. The record is from RNAcentral.